This 85-nucleotide transfer RNA is filed under the name Thermoleophilia bacterium. Its description in RNAcentral is "tRNA-Leu". It matches the Rfam family "tRNA". Rfam says of the family: Transfer RNA (tRNA) molecules are approximately 80 nucleotides in length. Their secondary structure includes four short double-helical elements and three loops (D, anti-codon, and T loops). The record is from RNAcentral. Lineage: Bacteria; Bacillati; Actinomycetota; Thermoleophilia.
GCCCGAGUGGUGGAACUGGCAGACACAAGGGACUUAAAAUCCCUCGCCUGCGGGUGUGUGGGUUCGAAUCCCACCUCGGGCACCA